RNAcentral lists this ribosomal RNA (841 nucleotides) under uncultured bacterium. RNAcentral describes it as "bacterial SSU rRNA". It matches the Rfam family "Bacterial small subunit ribosomal RNA", at positions 96 to 953 of the family's 1533-position model. The record is from RNAcentral.
UGGCGAACGGGUGAGUAACGCGUUGGUGACCUGCCCCAAAGCGGGGGAUAACAGUUCGAAAGGACUGCUAAUACCCCAUGUUGUCAUCGUUAUUAGAGAGCGAUGACCAAAGGAGUAAUCCACUUUGGGAGGGACCUGCGUCCCAUCAGCUAGUUGGUAGGGUAAUGGCCUACCAAGGCUUCGACGGGUAAGGGGUCUGAGAGGAUGGCCCCUCACAAUGGAACUGAAACACGGUCCAUACACCUACGGGUGGCAGCAGUAGGGAAUAUUGCACAAUGGGCGAAAGCCUGAUGCAGCAACGCCGCGUGUACGAUGAAGGUCUUCGGAUCGUAAAGUACUUUUCAGGGAGAUGAGAAAGGACAGUAUCCCUGGAAUAAGUCUCGGCUAACUACGUGCCAGCAGCCGCGGUAAAACGUAGGAGGCGAGCGUUAUCCGGAUUUACUGGGUGUAAAGCGCAUGCAGGCGGUUUGGUAAGUUGGAUGUGAAAGCUCCUGGCUCAACUGGGAGAGGUCGUUCAAAACUAUCAGACUCGAGAGUGGUAGAGGAAAGUGGAAUUCCCGGUGUAGUGGUGAAAUGCGUAGAUAUCGGGAGGAACACCAGUGGCGAAAGCGGCUUUCUGGACCAUUUCUGACGCUCAGAUGCGAAAGCUAGGGUAGCAAACGGGAUUAGAGACCCCGGUAGUCCUAGCAGUAAACGAUGUGAACUUGGCGUCGGUGGUGUAAAAACUGUCGGUGCCGAAGCUAACGCGAUAAGUUCACCACCUGGGAACUACGGCCGCAAGGUUAAAACUCAAGGAAUUGACGGGUCCCCGCACAAGCAGCGGAGCGUGUGGUUUAAUUCG